This 492-nucleotide ribosomal RNA is filed under the name uncultured bacterium. RNAcentral's name for it is "bacterial SSU rRNA". It matches the Rfam family "Bacterial small subunit ribosomal RNA", at positions 107 to 598 of the family's 1533-position model. The record is from RNAcentral.
UGAGUAACACGUAUCCAACCUGCCGCUUACUCGGGGAUAGCCUUUCGAAAGAAAGAUUAAUACCCGAUGGUAUAAAGAGUUCGCAUGUUCUCUUUAUUAAAGAAUUUCGGUAAGCGAUGGGGAUGCGUUCCAUUAGAUUGUUGGCGGGGUAACGGCCCACCAAGUCUACGAUGGAUAGGGGUUCUGAGAGGAAGGUCCCCCACAUUGGAACUGAGACACGGUCCAAACUCCUACGGGAGGCAGCAGUGAGGAAUAUUGGUCAAUGGACGAGAGUCUGAACCAGCCAAGUAGCGUGAAGGAUGACUGCCCUAUGGGUUGUAAACUUCUUUUAUAAGGGAAUAAAGUGAGGGACGUGUCCCUUUUUGUAUGUACCUUAUGAAUAAGGAUCGGCUAACUCCGUGCCAGCAGCCGCGGUAAUACGGAGGAUCCAAGCGUUAUCCGGAUUUAUUGGGUUUAAAGGGAGCGUAGGUUGACAUAUAAGUCAGCUGUGAA